RNAcentral lists this small RNA (319 nucleotides) under uncultured bacterium. RNAcentral's name for it is "bacterial SSU rRNA". It matches the Rfam family "Bacterial small subunit ribosomal RNA", at positions 65 to 353 of the family's 1533-position model. The record is from RNAcentral.
GGCUUGAGUGAAGGGUAACCGGAAUUUGAGCCUAGCGGCGGACGGGUGAGUAACGCGUGGGCAAUCUGCCCUCAGGCCCGGGACAACAGUUCGAAAGGGCUGCUAAGACCGGAUGACCUUGCGAAGUGGCAUCAUUUUGCAAGCAAAGGUUGCGCCUGAGGAUGAGCCCGCGUCCCAUUAGCUAGUUGGCGGGGUAACAGCCCACCAAGGCGGGGAAGGGUAGCCGGACUGAGAGGUUGGCCGGCCACACUGGGACUUUCUCUCGGCCCAGGGACCUACNNNANUCACCAUCCGAUGAGGGAAAAACUCCNCCAUCCGA